AUACUUAACUGGCAGGGGAGAUACCAUGAUCACCAAGGUGGUUCACCCAGGGCGAGGCUCGGCCAUCGGCUGUGCUGACCCCUGCGAAAUCUCCAAAUGUGGGAAUUUCGACUGCAUAAUUUGUGGUAGUGGGGGACUGUGUUCAAGCUUUCCCCUG
This is a small nuclear RNA of Eleginops maclovinus (Patagonian blennie), 157 nucleotides long. RefSeq annotates it as U1 spliceosomal RNA. Lineage: Eukaryota; Metazoa; Chordata; Actinopteri; Perciformes; Eleginopidae. The transcript has a single exon. The record is from RefSeq and is a predicted model, not a curated record.